Molecule: non-coding RNA, 30 nt
Filed under: Gallus gallus (chicken)
Lineage: Eukaryota; Metazoa; Chordata; Aves; Galliformes; Phasianidae
Also listed under: 5 other names
Source: RNAcentral
UCGGGGUUUCGUACGUAGCAGAGCAGCUCC